Podarcis lilfordi (Lilford's wall lizard) is the source of this 80-nucleotide non-coding RNA. The record is from the annotation of a GenBank genome assembly. NCBI's taxonomy places the organism in Eukaryota, Metazoa, Chordata, Lepidosauria, Squamata, Lacertidae.
GCCCAUGCCUGAUUUAGAUGGUUGGUUAGAGUGUGGUGCUGGCAACGCCAAGGUUGAAGGUUCGAUCCCUGUAAGGGGCA